Molecule: non-coding RNA, 116 nt
Organism: Prunus avium (sweet cherry)
Lineage: Eukaryota; Viridiplantae; Streptophyta; Magnoliopsida; Rosales; Rosaceae
Source: RefSeq, a predicted model, not a curated record
UUAUUCUCUGGGCCCAUCCCCAAGGAGCUUGGAAACCUUAAGGAGCUAACUAUGCUGUCCUUUGGAUCAAAUAAUUUCUCCGGAACACUCCCUCCAGAACUUGGUAACUUAGUCAA